This 301-nucleotide ribosomal RNA is filed under the name uncultured bacterium. RNAcentral's name for it is "partial 16S ribosomal RNA". It matches the Rfam family "Bacterial small subunit ribosomal RNA", at positions 509 to 807 of the family's 1533-position model. The record is from RNAcentral.
CAGCCGCCGCGGGAAUACGUAGGGUGCAAGCGUUAAUCGGAAUUACUGGGCGUAAAGCGUGCGCAGGCGGUUAUAUAAGACAGAUGUGAAAUCCCCGGGCUCAACCUGGGAACUGCAUUUGUGACUGUAUAGCUAGAGUACGGCAGAGGGGGAUGGAAUUCCGCGUGUAGCAGUGAAAUGCGUAGAUAUGCGGAGGAACACCGAUGGCGAAGGCAAUCCCCUGGGCCUGUACUGACGCUCAUGCACGAAAGCGUGGGGAGCAAACAGGAUUAGAUACCCGAGUAGUCCCUGUCUCUUAUAC